Passer domesticus (house sparrow) is the source of this 3058-nucleotide long non-coding RNA. RefSeq lists it as uncharacterized. The transcript is spliced from 3 exons. NCBI's taxonomy places the organism in Eukaryota, Metazoa, Chordata, Aves, Passeriformes, Passeridae. The record is from RefSeq and is a predicted model, not a curated record.
UGACUCCUGUGUUUGCUGAGCUACAGCAGGAUGUUCAGUACAGAACAAAGCCUAAAGCUGAAGAGUUACCCUCAUUUCUAAAUUGGUUGCAUGCAGCAUUCAGGCACCUCAAUCUGUUAAUUACUAUGUCUGGAAAGCCUUGGCAUACAUAUUCAUCACCUGCAAUUGUCAUGCUGCCAGUUUUUGCAAUUUUAAUCACUAACUUCAUGAUAUCUGGCAUUUUUCUUGAAGUUGAAUCCCUCAGAAUUGUUUGGUUUCCUGACAGUCUCAGUAUUGCUUCUUUUUAAAAAAGAAAGUCUAAAUUUAAGGGCCUGAGAUUUCAAAGAAAAAACUGAAAUGUCAAUAUCUGGGGGGGAAAUGAAGAUUUUGAAGAGUUGUAAGAAUAAAUGGUUUCUAAAAUAUAACUUCAAGAAAAGCAAAGUUCACUUUAGUUUAAAAAAGAAAAAUUGGAGGAGUGAGAUUAUAGAGGAAAAAAACAAGGUGGGCUGUUGCAGUCAAUAUGAUCAUUAAUUACAUAAGGUAUUACAAUAAAUGGUGAUCAUGUGAGCCAAGAAGGCUCUUGGAGGAUGAAGGCAGAGGAAUUUAUUCCCAUUUGUAACAGAAUGAGAAUUAUUAAGAGUUUUAUGACUUCUGGAUCAUCAGAGCUGGCUGACUGCAAAAACUAUGGAAAUGUUUGCCAGCUGCCUAUGAAUUAUAAGAUCAGACGAACAGCUGGGAAAGAGCUUCACAGAAUACUUCAUUGUGCUUUAGACCUUCCAUGAAGCCUCUUUCACAAUUUUGCUUCUGUAAUUCAACACAUCUUGUUUUUUUAGCAGCAGCAUGAUUGUGAUGCACAGCAACUUCUAUUAGUGGAGAGCAGCAAAGGCAACACUUCUGUUUUACUCCACAUCAUCUUUGCCUGAGAGGAAGAUAAAAAACACCGGCAAAGUUUGAUAAGAAAAUAUUUUUUUUUCUCCUAAGUUCUCCUCUGUGUUGAAAAGGAAGUGCUAUGGAUCAAGGCAAAGGCAUGUUUCAGUACUUCAUUAUCCUCACAACUGUGUGACAUUGCUGUGAGCACCCUCAGAGCAAAGCUGUGUCAAAGUGAGCUGCAGAUCAGCGGUGCAGGGCUGCUCCUUCAUCCCAUGCUCUGCUCCUCAGCUGGCUUUAGGGCAUGCUUUCCAAGGAGUGACCUCUUGGCUCUGUACUGCAUCCUCCUGCUAUUCCUGUAGCAGGGAGUAUGAAUUUGAAAGCAAUCCUGGUUAUAAAAGCAGCAAUUGUGCUUCCUACUUUGGACCUUAGACCUUAGAAAAUACUUCAGACUAAUUCUCAAGUUCUCGCUGUCUGAGACUUGGGAGCAAAUUUCUUUUUUAAAAGUCUCUCUCUUCCCUAAGUGUUUAUCAACCCAUCCAUGUCCAUGAUUUGUUGAUUUCAAAUCCUAAACAAUUUCAAUUCAGAGUUAUGCAACCCAAAAGCACAUGUAUUUUCCUGCCCAAUAAAGUUUGUUUGAAGAGAUUAAAAAUAAUUAUGAAAUAACUGUCCAAGAGACAAAGAGUGUUUAGGGCAUGCCACUGAGUUGAAUCUAAUUCAAGUCAACAACUGCCAGAAGCCAGAAGUGUCUGAGUUUCCUUUGACUGUUAGGACAAGCUUGUUGCUGGUUUAUCCUCGACAAAAAUACAGACACAUCACAUAAUCCUUCAGCUUUUUGGCAUCCUCAGGAAAGAAGAUGGGAACUGAAUAGUCUCGAGGCAGUUUCCCACACAUUAUUGAACUCAUCUCUCCAGACAAAAAGAGCAGUGCAUAACAAACACAGGUGUAUCAAUAAGUACUAACUUCAACAGCAAACACACCCAGGGCAACCUUCUCCAGAAGUGUAAGGGUAUCAUCCUAAAACAUGAUAUCCUUUAGCUGCAGAGGAAGCUUUUUACAAAAAGAUAAGAUAGAAGUGUUUGAUGUGAAUACGUCUUCAAUUAACAUUUCUGGAAGAUAAUGGAAGGCACUGAUUGGAAAAUCCUUAUCAAGGUAAAAGUGUUUUAGAACUAAAGAAAAAAUGUGCCUGUCAGACCUCACUGCAAUCUCAGCAAUGUCUGCAAUUGAAGAGGGGCUUCAUAAAGUGCAGUUGGAUGAAAAAAAAUCAUCAUUGGAAGAAAUCACCCAGAACUACCUGAUCAGAGAACUGAGCAAACCAACCUGAGAAGCACAGCAUGAAUAAAUGUGGUGCCAUAUUUCAUUGUCUCCCCAGAGUAAAAAAAAACAUUUGCUCUAUAUUUUAACAGAUAUACCUGCUUCUCAACUGGUAGCUUGACUCAAUGACUGGAACCAGGCAAAAAAAAGAGCAGGGAUUCUACAAAUGAACUCACUCCAAAAUUAUGUCCCCUGUGAGGGAUUUAGUUGGGGGAGGAGGGUUCUGCUUUGUUUUUCUCUGGAAAAGAAUAUUCUGAGCAGCAGUUUUUGAUUUAGAGGGCACGAUUCUGCUGCAUAGCCAUUGAAGGUCCUAAAUCAUAAGGGGUCCAUAAUCAUUAGUUAGAAUUGCACUAACAAUAGAAAUGACAAAACUGGUCUCUACAAAAGGAUGCUUAGAGCUGUAGGCUGUUGUUUUCUGAGAAUAAAUAGGCAGCAAAGAGAAAAUAGAAUGUGCUUCUAAGCAGUUGGCUGGUGCCUGCAUUGUGUAGUUCAGUCAGAGCUGGCACAUCUUUGUUUGAGGAGCCCCUUCUGAUGUAGCAUUUCUGCAUUCCCUGUGGGGAUACAUCACAAACAUCGCAUCUCUCGGGGACAGAAUAAACUCUAAUCACAAGAAAAUCUGCCAGCAGGAUAUUAGUAGGAGAAUUUACUCUGGAAACAAAAUAGUGUAUGAACUCACUUCUAACCAUGUGGACAAGGACAUUUCAUUAUCACAGCCCUUUGCCUCCCUUCUAUUUAACCCCAGAGACAGCAGGACAACCCUCCUAGAGGAUGCUAGAGGGACAGGGGGAUGAAGGGACUUCAGCAAAAGGUCUGCUUCUUCCUACCAGUAAAGUCCCCUUUUAGACAAGGAUGACAAACACAUGCUAGGUUUAGAAACUACUUGUUUGCUUCCCCUGAA